UUCUUACGUAAGAAUCAAUAAUUGAUGCAAUACUAUGUGCUACUGUGUUUUAACCUUCGAGUAUUCCAAUAGUAUUAACGAUAACAACUACGCCGUUAUUUAUAAACAACUUAUACUUGUCGUUUUCUUCAUCCAAUCGCUUUUCGUUAUGGGGCCCACACAAGGCUGCACUGUCAUACGAAUAUUCCCCGACAGCAAGAAUAUUCCACGACAAAACGAAUAUUCCCCGACAACAAUAAAUAUUUUAUAACCACUUGCUUAUUUGAAAUAUUUACGCAUUUUACUUAUAACUAACCACAUUAAUCAAAUCAACCCUUACAAUUUCAAAAUAAUAAAUAGAGGAAAUUUAAUUUCAUUUAUAAUAAGUUGGGGUCUUACAAUCAUACCAAGUCCAUCUAUGCACGUAAGCCAAAGAUGACUUUCAUCACAAUAUAAGCAUAAUGAUGAUGACAAUGACAUAAUAAUUC
RNAcentral lists this long non-coding RNA (467 nucleotides) under Panax ginseng (ginseng). RNAcentral describes it as "long non-coding RNA (PGIN_LNC008787)". The record is from RNAcentral. Lineage: Eukaryota; Viridiplantae; Streptophyta; Magnoliopsida; Apiales; Araliaceae.